CACUAAAACCCCUUGUCAUGAAACACUGAAGCAGGUGACAUUUGAACUUUCCUUCCGCAGAAUUGUAUUUUAACUGAAAUUUCAGGGUUAGAAGAAAUUUGCCGAGGAUCCUAAACAGGUCAGCAAAGAUCGUAGGUUCUUUCCAGCUCCAAGAACUUCAGAAAAGUUUCUUAGGUGAUUGGAAUAACGUUCGCCGUUAAACUUCUCAAGAGAGCUUCCCACACUCAACUCUAGAGAUACUGGACUUAAGGAAAUGUCCCCAUGGAACGCUGAGCCUUUCAUCUCCUCUUUGCUCGUCUCACGGCUUUGUUAGACACGAAACCAUCUUCUGGAAAAUGUCUUCCCUGACACCUCUCCUAGUUUUCUGAGUUUGGGUUGCUUUCCUCCCAGCACUCACGGAGAUCCAGGAAAAGAAUCCCGGUGGGUUCUAACCUCAACCUGUAAAUCCACUAAGCAAGCUCCUACUGAACACCUAUGAUGCAAGCUCAAUCCAAGAGGCCAGCAGUCCGCAGGGGGAAGGCAACCAAAGCAAGAGGCACGUGAUUGCCUCGUGUUCAAGUUCCAAUAACCAGCCAGGCUUGUGUGUUGUAGUUUCAAAGUCAAUUCUAUUUUCAAAGCCUUAACACUGCUAUUCAGAGACUCUGGAGUGUGUGCAACCCAGUGGCCAGUGAAGACUGGAAAGUAGGCUGUCACUUAGUUCGAUUCUCAGACUCUUUUUAGGCACAAAAUUGCCUUGUAUUCAAGUUCCAAGUACCAAUCAGCCUUCCAUGUGUUGUUGUUUCAAAGAUAACUCUAUUUGCAAAGC
Molecule: long non-coding RNA, 805 nt
Organism: Symphalangus syndactylus (siamang)
Lineage: Eukaryota; Metazoa; Chordata; Mammalia; Primates; Hylobatidae
Source: RefSeq, a predicted model, not a curated record